AUUGCUAUCGGAGUCCGAUUUAGCCAUGCUAGUCGUGCGAGUUCACACUCGCGGCACCGAGCUCAGUAACACGUGGCCAAACUACCCUACAGAGACGGAUACCCUCGGGAAACUGAGGCUAACCCGUCAUACCGAUCUCAGGCUUGAAUCGCAGAGAUCACCAAACGCCCCGGCGCUGUAGGAUGUGGCUGCGGUUGAUUAGGUUGACGGUGGGGUAACGGCCCACCGUGCCCAUAAUCAGUACAGGUUGUGAGAGCAAGAACCUGGAGACGGAAUCUGAGACAAGAUUCCGGGCCCUACGGGGCGCAGCAGGCGCGAAACCUUUACACUGCACGCACGUGCGAUAAGGGGACUCCGAGUGCGAGGGAUAUC
Molecule: ribosomal RNA, 372 nt
Filed under: uncultured archaeon
Lineage: Archaea
Description: bacterial SSU rRNA
Rfam family: Archaeal small subunit ribosomal RNA
Source: RNAcentral